GAAAUUCCCAUGCAGAGUCCUAUAUCCAUCACCAAGUUCCAAAAAAGUGCACGAAUGACAUGUGAAAUUCAAACAUUAGGGGCAAAUUUUGAUGGUGCCGUCAUACACUGGUAUCUGCAGAAGGAGGGUGAAGCUCCAAAGAGGCUCUUGUUCCUUUCAGGAGGAAAAGCUACCGUUGAAACUGGCUUUCAAGCAAGCAGAUACAUAGUUGAAAGAAUUUCUGAUCAGCGACGGUGUGUUCUUACAAUAAAAGAUGUAAUUCCAACUGAUGCUGCUACUUACUACUGUGCCUACUGGGAUCCUCACUGUGAUAGAAACUCAAAGAUCAUCAAGGCAAAAAAACACCUGCAACGUCUGAACCACAAGGUGGCUUUGUGCAAGAAAUUCCCAUGGAGAGCUCUCUGUCUGUCACCAAGUCUAAACGAAGUGUACGCCUGGAAUUGUCCUUUUAAAGGUGACUUUGAAGAUUUUGGUCACACCACCAUGACAAUGUUUGUAUCAAAAGAAGGCAAAAAAAGCUUCAGAUAAGAUUUUCUGCUUCUCAGGUGUAAAAGUAGUAAAUGAUGACUUCCAAGC
This is a non-coding RNA of Pipra filicauda (Wire-tailed manakin), 576 nucleotides long. Lineage: Eukaryota; Metazoa; Chordata; Aves; Passeriformes; Pipridae. The record is from the annotation of a RefSeq genome assembly.